This 476-nucleotide long non-coding RNA is filed under the name Lathyrus oleraceus (garden pea). RNAcentral's name for it is "Pisum sativum (pea) long non-coding RNA (PSAT_LNC033223)". Lineage: Eukaryota; Viridiplantae; Streptophyta; Magnoliopsida; Fabales; Fabaceae. The record is from RNAcentral.
AAAAGGAACCAUUAAAACCAAGAAAAUCAUCCUCUUCUUCUGCAAACUUGUUUCCAUCAAAAGAAACAUCCCCGGGGCUAUUUAUUUCCGAUUGAAUAAUUUUGGCACUAGGAAGUUUGUGAUCUUCAACAGAUUCUUCAGAGUGCACAGCUUUUAUCUCUUCACCAGUGACAAUAGAAGAUUUCUUGACUUCAUCAUGCUGUAUGAUCUUCUUGAGAAGUUUCUGCUGAAAUUUGAUUUGAUUGAACUUCGGAAUGCAAUUGUUGUUGUGUAUUGGCUGAACUGAUGUCAAUAUCCUCAGAUAAAAGUUGGAAACCUAAACCCUUGGCUAGAGAGCUUAGUUUUCCAUCUUUCUUUUGUUGGACAAUGUAACCCAAUAACUCGUUCAAAGAACUCACUUGUAGAUCAGAAGCUACAUUAUCCACACUAACUUGCUUACCCUCAUUAAUAAUUGUAAUGGAAGAUAUCUUCUUGUU